This 524-nucleotide ribosomal RNA is filed under the name uncultured bacterium. Its description in RNAcentral is "partial 16S ribosomal RNA". It matches the Rfam family "Bacterial small subunit ribosomal RNA", at positions 28 to 523 of the family's 1533-position model. The record is from RNAcentral.
GACGAACGCUGGCGGCGUGCCUAAUACAUGCAAGUCGAGCGCAGGAAGCCGUCUGAACCCUUCGGGGGGACGACGGUGGAAUGAGCGGCGGACGGGUGAGUAACACGUAAAGAACCUGCCCAUAGGUCUGGGAUAACCACGAGAAAUCGGGGCUAAUACCGGAUGUGUCAUCGGACCGCAUGGUCCGAUGAUGAAAGGCGCUCCGGCGUCGCCCAUGGAUGGCUUUGCGGUGUAUUAGCUAGUUGGUGAGGUAACGGCCCACCAAGGCGACGAUGCAUAGCCGACCUGAGAGGGUGAGCGGCCACACUGGGACCGAGACACGGCCCAGACUCCUACGGGAGGCAGCAGUAGGGAAUCUUCCACAAUGGACGAAAGCCUGAUGGAGCAACGCCGCGUGAACGAUGAAGGCUUUCGGGUCGUAAAGUUCUGUUGUAAGGGAAGAACAAGUGCCGCAGGCAAUGGCGGCACCUUGACGGUACCUUGCGAGAAAGCCACGGCUAACUACGUGCCAGCAGCCGCCGUAA